Molecule: non-coding RNA, 379 nt
Organism: Cinara cedri
Lineage: Eukaryota; Metazoa; Arthropoda; Insecta; Hemiptera; Aphididae
Source: the annotation of a GenBank genome assembly
ACGGUGACGGUGCGCUCGACUCCGUCGCGUUUUCGCUGUAACAUUAUUGUUGCUCGUAUUGCUGUUCGCGUAGGUGUACCGUUCGUCGUUUUUCGUUUUUUCUCUCUCUCUCGCUCUCUCUCUUUCUCUCUCUCUCUCUUCCUCUCUCUUUCCCGCGUCGUAUACGCCCCGCGUUUUCGUCUCGCGGUUUUACAUCGACGCGCACCGGUACAUACUGUUCCCCGUCCGAGUUUCGGCGUCGUGUUUUCUCCGCGCGCGGCAACGGCUACGGGAAAAACGUCGCCCCGAACCCUUCGCCGGCCGAAACAAUACGGGCACCGUAAUAGUCAUUACAAUAAUAAUAGUAACGCGUCACGGAUGUUACGCGCGGACCGGUCCG